GAUGAACGCUGGCGGCGUGCCUAAUACAUGCAAGUCGAGCGAACAGACGAGGAGCUUGCUCCUCUGACGUUAGCGGCGGACGGGUGAGUAACACGUGGAUAACCUACCUAUAAGACUGGGAUAACUUCGGGAAACCGGAGCUAAUACCGGAUAAUAUGUUGAACCGCAUGGUUCAAUAGUGAAAGACGGUUUUGCUGUCACUUAUAGAUGGAUCCGCGCCGCAUUAGCUAGUUGGUAAGGUAACGGCUUACCAAGGCGACGAUGCGUAGCCGACCUGAGAGGGUGAUCGGCCACACUGGAACUGAGACACGGUCCAGACUCCUACGGGAGGCAGCAGUAGGGAAUCUUCCGCAAUGGGCGAAAGCCUGACGGAGCAACGCCGCGUGAGUGAUGAAGGUCUUCGGAUCGUAAAACUCUGUUAUUAGGGAAGAACAAAUGUGUAAGUAACUAUGCACGUCUUGACGGUACCUAAUCAGAAAGCCACGGCUAACUACGUG
RNAcentral lists this ribosomal RNA (497 nucleotides) under uncultured bacterium. Its description in RNAcentral is "partial 16S ribosomal RNA". It matches the Rfam family "Bacterial small subunit ribosomal RNA", at positions 28 to 507 of the family's 1533-position model. The record is from RNAcentral.